GGAAACUCCACCCACCGCGUGGGAACGUGACGCCGCGAGGCGUAGGGGGAGACCCCUGCUCUUGGAGCAGAAACGACACGUCCACAGGCUAGAUGACGAUGAGGCGGCUGAGGCGGGGCAUAAAGCCCUGCCGAGAAGGCUCCCGGCAACGGGAGCUGAGCUAACCCGUUGAGUAGGCCUGUGGGAGCGUUGAAACGGCCAACCCACGGGGUGCAAGGGCGAGUAGGGGCUGAUGAGGCCCACGCGAAGCCCGGGUAGCCCGCUUAGCGGAAUGCCGCCUAAAACAGAAGGUGGGUUACGGCCAACUCAC
Molecule: RNase P RNA, 310 nt
Rfam family: Archaeal RNase P
About the family: Ribonuclease P (RNase P) is a ubiquitous endoribonuclease, found in archaea, bacteria and eukarya as well as chloroplasts and mitochondria. Its best characterised activity is the generation of mature 5'-ends of tRNAs by cleaving the 5'-leader elements of precursor-tRNAs.